This 547-nucleotide long non-coding RNA is filed under the name Strongylocentrotus purpuratus (purple sea urchin). RNAcentral's name for it is "uncharacterized LOC115923027". Lineage: Eukaryota; Metazoa; Echinodermata; Echinoidea; Camarodonta; Strongylocentrotidae. The record is from RNAcentral.
GUAUCUAAUCAGGAACAGGACACCUAAGACCUAAGUUGAACUUUGGCAAGGUUGUCCCAUGCAGAAGGUUUGAUUCCCAGGCUUCUUUUGUACAAGUCCCUUGUCUAUCCUCAUCUGUUCCGGUGUCUGGGAUCCCUACAACAUCUCAGAUGUCCAGGACGCUACUUCACAAUGGGGACCACAAGAGAACCAGCAGUUUGACUGAGAUGAUCAGCACCUUUUAGUUGCCUACUAUAUCUACAACUACAAGGCACUCUGCAAGAAGACUGGGAAUGGUGCACAAGAUAGUCAAUGGUCUCUUCGCUCUCCCUUGAAAAUUUCCCCACUGCACUACUUAUAGCUACUUGCGCCCUCUAUAUAGCAAACAAUGCCUAAUCGGUGCCUACUGGUCUCCCAUGAUCCUCUUUUUCUUAUAUUAAUUGAGAGCUGAUUUGAUGAGAUAACCACCUGUCAGUGACCUUGCAGGGUGGUCUAAUCCCCCUGGCCAAACUAGUACAGACGGGCUUUAACAAAUCACGAGCAGGAAGUACCAUGACAUGACCCUCCA